Molecule: ribosomal RNA, 397 nt
Filed under: uncultured bacterium
Lineage: Bacteria
Description: partial 16S ribosomal RNA
Rfam family: Bacterial small subunit ribosomal RNA
Source: RNAcentral
CCUACGGGGUGCUGCAGUGAGGAAUAUUGGUCAAUGGACGAGAGUCUGAACCAGCCAAGUAGCGUGAAGGAUGACUGUCCUAUGUGUUGUAAACUUCUUUUGUAUGGGAAUAAAACAUGGUAUGCAUACCCUCUUGUGUGUACCAUAAGAAUAAGGAUCGGCUAACUCCGUGCCAGCAGCCGCGGUAAUACGGAGGAUCCGAGCGUUAUCCGGAUUUAUUGGGUUUAAAGGGUGCGUAGGCGGGUUGUUAAGUCAGUUGUGAAAGUUUGCGGCUCAACCGUAACAUUGCAGUUGAAACUGGCAGUCUUGAGUACAGUAGAGGUAGGCGGAAUUCGUGGUGUAGCGGUGAAAUGCUUAGAUAUCACGAAGAACUCCGAUUGCGAAGGCAGCAUACUGG